AGAGCGAACGCUGGCGGCAGGCCUAACACAUGCAAGUCGAGCGCCCGUAGCAAUACGGGAGCGGCAGACGGGAUAGUAACACGUGGGAACGCGCCCUUCGGUUCGGAAUAACUCAGGGAAACUUGAGCUAAUACCGAAUACGCCCUUACGGGGAAAGAUUUAUUGCCGAAGGAACGGCCCGCGUCCGAUUAGCUAGUUGGUGAGGUAAUGGCUCACCAAGGCUACGAUCGGUAGCUGGUCUGAGAGGAUGACCAGCAUCACUGGGACUGAGGCACGGCCCAGACUCCUACGGGAGGCAGCAGUGGGGAAUAUUGGACAAUGGGCGCAAGCCUGAUCCAGCCAUGCCGCGUGAGUGAUGAAGGCCCUAGGGUUGUAAAGCUCUUUUGUGCGGGAAGAUAAUGACGGUACCGCAAGAAUAAGCCCCGGCUAACGUUCGUGCCACGCGAGCCGC
Molecule: ribosomal RNA, 451 nt
Filed under: uncultured bacterium
Lineage: Bacteria
Description: SSU rRNA
Rfam family: Bacterial small subunit ribosomal RNA
Source: RNAcentral